Molecule: ribosomal RNA, 490 nt
Filed under: uncultured bacterium
Lineage: Bacteria
Description: partial 16S ribosomal RNA
Rfam family: Bacterial small subunit ribosomal RNA
Source: RNAcentral
AUUGAACGCUGGCGGCAGGCCUAACACAUGCAAGUCGAACGGUAAUAGGAAGCAGCUUGCUGCUUUGCUGACGAGUGGCGGACGGGUGAGUAAUGUCUGGGAAACUGCCCGAUGGAGGGGGAUAACUACUGGAAACGGUAGCUAAUACCGCAUAACGUCGCAAGACCAAAGAGGGGGACCUUAGGGCCUCUUGCCAUCGGAUGUGCCCAGAUGGGAUUAGCUAGUAGGUGGGGUAACGGCUCACCUAGGCGACGAUCCCUAGCUGGUCUGAGAGGAUGACCAGCCACACUGGAACUGAGACACGGUCCAGACUCCUACGGGAGGCAGCAGUGGGGAAUAUUGCACAAUGGGCGCAAGCCUGAUGCAGCCAUGCCGCGUGUAUGAAGAAGGCCUUCGGGUUGUAAAGUACUUUCAGCGGGGAGGAAGGGAGUAAAGUUAAUACCUUGGCUCAUUGACGUUACCCGCAGAAGAAGCACCGGCUAACUCCGUG